GGUGCGAAGCUCCCCUAACCCCCCGGCAGGUGCUGCUCCGGCCGCGCUGGGGACCGCGUCUCCCCGCCAUUGAGGGCUCUACGUGGCUCUGUCACCUGUUCUGUCCAGUUGUGACCUGUACCAACCUCAGGAGUUGUAGGAAGGACACAGGGGGACCCAGGAAACCUAGAAAUGGACUCGGUGGUCAUUGAGUUUGUGUCUGUGACCUUCACCCUGGAGGAGUGGGCUUUACUGGAUCCUUCACAGAAGAAACUCUACAGAGACGUGAUGCAGGAAAUCUUCAGGAAUCUGGCCUCAAUUGGAAAGAUCAUGACACCAAAGAUCUGUACAGAAACCAGGGGAGAAAACUAAGGUGGGUCACACUCGCUAUGGAAAGCAGUGUCUCAGAAGCCAUAAGGUAGAGACUCUGUGAAAGUGAAGAGGGUAGUGAUUGUGGAGAAAACUUCAGCCUUACUCUAAAUCUCGUUUUGAACAAGAAAACUCCUAGAGUGAAACCACAUGAAUGCAGUGCGUGUGGAAAAGUCUUCACGCAUCAUUCAUCCCUUAAUAGGCAAUAAGGUGUCACAAUGAACACAAACCAUCUGAGUAAAAAAAUAUGGAGAGAAACCAUAGAAAUGUAAGAUAUGUGGGAAAGCCUCUGUUUAUCUCUACAUUUUAGAAAAACAUGGAAGAAAUCACAAUGGAGAGAAAACCUAUAAGUGUCAGGAAUGUGGGAAAGCCUUUAUGUGGCUCAAAACCCUACGAAGACAUAUGAGAAUGCACACUGGAGAUGCUCCUUAUAAAUGUAAAGAAUGUGAGAAACCCUUCUGUUGUUCUAGUUCACUUCAAGUACAUGAAAGAACACACACUGGAGAGAAACCGUAUGAAUGUGCAAAAUGCAGUAAAGCGUUCAGUUGUCCCAGUUCUCUUCAAAGACGUGAAAAAACUCAUACUGGGAAGAAACUCUAUGAAUGUAAGGAAUAUGGGAGAGCCUGCAGAUAUUAUACCUCCUUACAGAUGCACGAAAGGACUCACACAGGAGAGAAACCCUAUGAAUGUAAGCAACGCAGGAAAGCCUUCAUUUGUCACACAAACUUUCAAAGACACUUGAGAACGCACACUGGAGAGAAACCAUAUAAAUGUGCGGAAUGCGGGAAGGCCUUCUGUGAUCCCGGUACUUUCCAAAGGCAUGAAAGGACACACUAGAGAACACUUCAGCAUGGGAAGGUCUUCAAUUGGCCCACUUCCUAAAAUGUGACAACUCCCACCAAAAAGAAAUAAAUGUAAAUAACAUGAGACAGCUUGAGAUAGCUUGAUGGGAAUUAAUGCAUGCAUAAUGUUCCAGAAAACUUUUCAUUGUGAAAGAGUUGUUAUCAAAGUUGUAAAUAUAUAGUGUUUAAGCCUCUUUCUUAAGGUACACGACUGGACUGUGGAUUUCUACUAAUUACUUCUAGAAAUGAAUAUUGAAGUGAGAUAAUUCUACAAGUAGUACAUAAGAUUAAUAGAUGGUGAUUUUUCCUUAAA
Equus caballus (horse) is the source of this 1503-nucleotide long non-coding RNA. RefSeq lists it as uncharacterized. NCBI's taxonomy places the organism in Eukaryota, Metazoa, Chordata, Mammalia, Perissodactyla, Equidae. The record is from RefSeq and is a predicted model, not a curated record.